RNAcentral lists this ribosomal RNA (377 nucleotides) under uncultured bacterium. Its description in RNAcentral is "bacterial SSU rRNA". It matches the Rfam family "Bacterial small subunit ribosomal RNA", at positions 521 to 896 of the family's 1533-position model. The record is from RNAcentral.
UAAUACGUAGGAGGCAAGCGUUAUCCGGAUUUAUUGGGCGUAAAGGGCGUCUAGGCGGUGUCUUAAGUUGGGCGUGAAAUCUCCCGGCUCAACUGGGAGGGGCCGUUCAAUACUGAGACACUUGAGGGCAGGAGAGGAAAGUGGAAUUCCCGGUGUAGUGGUGGAAUACUUAGAUAUCGGGAGGAACACCAGUGGCGAAGGCGGCUUUCUGGCCUGCACCUGACGCUAAAGCGCGAAAGCGUGGGUAGCGAACGGGAUUAGAUACCCCGGUAGUCCACGCCGUAAACGAUGGAUACUAGGUGUUGGUGGUAUUGACCCCAUCAGUGCCGUAGUUAACGCGUUAAGUAUCCCGCCUGGGGACUACGGCCGCAAGGCUA